This is a non-coding RNA of Arachnomyces sp. PD_36, 90 nucleotides long. NCBI's taxonomy places the organism in Eukaryota, Fungi, Ascomycota, Eurotiomycetes, Onygenales, Arachnomycetaceae. The record is from the annotation of a GenBank genome assembly.
GCCGGGCUAGCUCAAUCGGUAGAGCGUGUGGCUCUUAAAGAUCGCUGAUCUGCCACCACAAGGCUGCGAGUUCGAGCCUCGCGUUCGGCU